GAAGGAUCAUUAUCGAAUCAAUCAAGGCUGUUGCUGGCGCCGUCGAGUGCAUGUGCACGCUUCUUUGUUUUCUCCCACUGUGCACAAACCUGUAGACACCCUUUCCUGAGGAUUGCCGUGCGAGAGCCGGCUCUCCUUGUUGUCUAUGCUUUCACAACCUAUGAAUGUAUCUAGAAUGCUUUGAAUCUGGGGAAUACACAUACAACUUUCAGCAACGGAUCUCUUGGCUCUCGCAUCGAUGAAGAACGCAGCGAAAUGCGAUAAGUAAUGUGAAUUGCAGAAUUCAGUGAAUCAUCGAAUCUUUGAACGCAUCUUGCGCUCCUUGGUAUUCCGAGGAGCAUGCCUGUUUGAGUGUCAUUUGAAACCUCUCAACCACCUUCAAGGUGGCUUGGAAAUGGGGGAUCGUUGCAGGCUUUUUUGAAGUCUGCUCCCCUGAAAUGCAUUAGUGGUGUCUGGGCUGACUGCCACAGGUGUGAUAACUAUCAGUGCCUUGGUGGGAGACCUUGCCGCUUCCAAUCCUCUGAUGACCAGCUUGACCUCAAAUCAGGUAGGAUUACCCGCUGAACUUAA
This 570-nucleotide ribosomal RNA is filed under the name uncultured Inocybaceae. RNAcentral describes it as "eukaryotic LSU rRNA". The stretch from base 204 to 357 matches the Rfam family "5.8S ribosomal RNA". Lineage: Eukaryota; Fungi; Basidiomycota; Agaricomycetes; Agaricales. The record is from RNAcentral.